CGAACCAUGGAACCUCUUUUCAUUGGGGGAUAUGUUGCUGCAAUUCGCGCACCAGGUGCAUCCUCCUGGUGGUCAGUCGUUGCGGUCUCUAUAUCUCGAACCUUAUUAUUCUCCAAAACCCUUGUACACGCUACCUUUCAGUUUUGGCAUAAACAUCUUCUUCCGAGUCCUGAGAAGGAGAGGGAUACUUAGCACACCCUGCACAUUUCGCCCCCUCCCUCUUCCUCCUCCGUCGAAGAAAGAAACCAUGGGUACUUUUGGUCACUGCACUUUGCGCUCGGACGACAUCGUCAUCAAAUCUCCGAACGAUAGGCGGCUAUACAGGCUUAUUGAGCUCGAGAAUGGGCUCCGGGCCCUUCUGGUUCACGACCCUGAGAUUUACCCAGAUGGGCCUCCUAUAACCCUCGAGGACAAGGAAGAAAUAGAGGAGUGCGAUGAGGAUGGUGAUGAAAGCGAAGGAGAGGACGAGGACGAGGACGAUGACAGUGAAGAGGAGGAAGAAGAAGAAGAGGAGGAGGAAGGUGAAGAGGAGGACCAUGAAGUUAAAGGGCAAGGAAAGAAAGGUGCUUCUUCUCAGACUAAGAAGGCAGCGGCAGCAAUGUGUGUAGGAAUGGGCAGCUUCUCUGAUCCUUUCGAGGCACAGGGGCUUGCACAUUUUCUAGAACACAUGCUUUUCAUGGGGAGUGCUGAAUUUCCAGAUGAAAAUGAGUAUGAUAGUUACUUGUCCAAGCAUGGAGGCUGUUCAAAUGCAUACACAGAAACUGAGCAUACCUGCUACCAUUUUGAAGUGAAAAGAGAGUUUCUCAAGGGUGCCUUGACAAGAUUUUCUCAGUUCUUUGUUUCACCUCUUGUGAAAAUUGAAGCCAUGGAAAGAGAGGUACUUGCUGUAGAUUCAGAAUUCAACCAGGUCCAGCAAAAUGAUGCUUGCCGUCGUCAACAACUUCAAUGCCAUACAUCAGCACCUGGUCACCCUUUUAAUAGAUUUUUUUGGGGCAAUAAGAAGAGCCUGGUUGAUGCCAUGGAAAAAGGGAUCGAUUUGCGGGAACAAAUAUUGAAAUUGUACAGAGAUCACUACCAUGGUGGAUUAAUGAAGCUUGUUGUCAUUGGUGGAGAGUCACUGGAUGUCCUUGAGAGUUGGGUUAAGGAAUUGUUUGUUAAUGUCAGAAAAGGUUCUCAAGCAAAUCUGGAGUUUAAGGCAGAAGGUCCUAUCUGGAAAGCUGGUAAACUUUAUAGGUUAGAGGCUGUCAAAGAUGUCCAUAUCCUGGACUUAACAUGGACACUGCCAUGUCUUCAUCGAGAGUAUUUGAAGAAACUGGAAGAUUAUCUAGCACAUCUCCUGGGGCAUGAGGGCAGGGGAAGCUUGCAUUUCUUUCUAAAGGCUAGAGGAUGGGCAACAGCUCUAUCCGCAGGUGUUGGGGAUGAAGGAAUGCACCGAUCAUCUAUAGCUUAUAUCUUUGCCAUGUCCAUACACCUCACUGAUUCUGGCUUGGAAAAGAUUUUCGAGAUCAUUGGCUUUGUCUAUCAGUACCUUAAGUUGUUACGUCAAGUUGCUCCACAAGAGUGGAUAUUUAAGGAACUCCAGGAUAUUGGGAACAUGGAAUUUAAAUUUGUAGAGGAGCAACCUCAGGAUGAUUAUGCUGCAGAGCUUGCAGAGAAUUUACUCUUCUAUCCAGCUGAGCAUGUUAUUUAUGGGGACUACGUAUACAAGAUAUGGGAUGAGGAAAUGAUAAAAUACGUUCUUGGUUUCUUGACACCAGAAAACAUGAGGGUUGAUGUAAUAUCAAAAGCGUUCAAGUUGCAAGAUUCACAGCAUGAGCCUUGGUUUGGGUCACAUUACACUGAGGAAGAUAUUUCUCCAUCUUUGAUGGAUUUUUGGAGGGAUGCUCCUGAAAUUGAUCUUUUAUUGCAUCUGCCCUCGAAGAAUGAGUUCAUUCCAUGUGAUUUUUCAAUUCGUGCUAAUAGUACAUGUAAUGGUCCUGCAAAUGCAUCUUCUCCAAGAUGCAUACUUGAUGAACCGCUCAUGAAGUUCUGGUACAAGCUUGAUAAUACUUUUAGAGUUCCUCGUGCAAAUACAUACUUCCGCAUAAAUUUGAAGGGGGCAUAUGAUAAUGUGAAUAACUGUCUCUUGACAGAAUUAUUUGUUCACCUUCUUAAAGAUGAGUUGAAUGAGAUUAUAUAUCAGGCCAGUAUUGCCAAGUUAGAAACUUCCGUUUCCUUUUUCAGCGAUAAGCUGGAACUGAAGGUAUAUGGGUUCAACGAAAAGCUUCCAGUUCUCUUAUCUAAAGUUUUGGUAAUAGCCAAAUCUUUUUUGCCAAGCAAUGAUCGUUUUAAGGUUAUCAAAGAAGAUAUGGAGAGAACUUUAAGAAAUACCAACAUGAAGCCUCUUAGUCAUUCAUCGUACUUGAGAUUGCAAGUGCUGUGCAAGAGUUUCUAUGAUGUAGAUGAGAAGCUAUGCGUUCUAAAGGACUUGUCUCUUGCUCAGUUGAAGGAAUUUAUCCCUGAGCUGCGUUCCCAGCUAUACAUUGAGGGACUUUGCCAUGGCAAUUUGUUAGAAGAAGAAGCAAUCAGCAUAUCAAACAUAUUUAGCACAAACUUCUCUGUGCCACCCCUACCUGUUGAAAUGAGGUAUCAGGAACAUGUUAUUGAUCUUCCCUACGGUGCCAACCUCAUUAGAGAUGUUAGUGUGAAGAAUAAGUUGGAAAGAAACUCUGUAGUUGAGCUUUAUUUUCAAAUUGAGCAUGACGUUGGGAUGGAAUCGAUCAAAUUGAAAGCUUUGAUAGACCUUUUUGAUGAAAUUGUGGAAGAACCACUUUUCAAUCAGCUGAGGACAAAGGAGCAGCUUGGGUAUGUUGUUCAAUGUAGCCCACGAGUGACAUACCGCGUUUUUGGGUUUUGUUUCAUUGUUCAAUCUUCUGAGUACAACCCUGUCUAUUUGCAAGGGAGAAUUGACAACUUCAUAAACAACUUGGAAGAAUUACUGGAUAAGCUUGAUGAUAAUUCCUUUGAGAAUUACAGAAGUGGCCUUAUGGCAAAGCUGCUGGAGAAAGACCCAUCUCUCACAUACAAAAGCAGUCGGUUCUGGAAUCAAAUUAUUGAUAAAAGGUAUAUGUUUGACUUGUCAAAGAAGGAAGCAGAGGAGCUCAAUAGCAUUCAUAAGACUGAUGUUAUCAACUGGUACAAAAUGUAUUUGCAACAAUCAUCUCCGAAGUGUCGUAGACUUGCAGUUCGGGUUUGGGGUUGCAACACCGAUAUGAAAGAGGCUGAAAUGCAACACAAGUCCGUACAGGUCAUCAAAGAUGUUACAGCCUUUAAGAUGUCAUCCAAGUUCUAUCCAAGCAUUUGUUGAAUAUUGAACAUAAGAUGAUAACGGAGUGAACUGUCAGAACGAUUGGAGUCAAGUUUUGACCACAGGUUUUAGCUGGGUUUGCAAGUGUGCAGUCUUGCACAAUUUUAUUCACGUGUGGUGGAGUACAUCAUGCUAAUGCUUUUCCUUCAUGAUCAUUUUGUUCUGGGCACCACUUCAUGGGAGGAUUUAUGUCUUAGGUGAUGCCUCAGUAAUGCCCAUUGCUGAUGGAUGGGGGGAAUAAGGGGGCAGAGACCAGAGAGAGAAUGUUACAGGUUAGGUGCAGAAUGAAAGAGUAGCGUUAGACAUCUUCUUUGAAAUUGUAGUUCAAAGAGAUUCUUGCUUACUAUUUACAUUUGGACUUAUUGUUCUGGCACAACUCUGGUUUUGAUAAUCAGAUGGGAGUCAUUAACUCAUUCAUGGAUAAACAAACAGGAUUUAUAUAAAAAGCAUAGAAGGCCUCAGCCUGGUUUUGGAAAAGUAGUGCCGAUCACUCAUUAUCCACAUGAUAAUGGAUGUAAGUGAGUUUUUUAAUCCCAAUGUGUCUAUAAUUUCUCUGCUAUAAGGAUGUAAGAUGAGAUUCUGGUCCUAUCUGAUUUCAUUCAUAUAAAGAAUUUACUGUCUUAUUUUU
Juglans microcarpa x Juglans regia is the source of this 3974-nucleotide RNA transcript. It is a transcript of the gene named nardilysin-like, with no coding region annotated. Lineage: Eukaryota; Viridiplantae; Streptophyta; Magnoliopsida; Fagales; Juglandaceae. The transcript is spliced from 20 exons. The record is from RefSeq and is a predicted model, not a curated record.